GUGUCAGCCGCCGCGGUAAAACCAGCACCUCAAGUGGUUAGGAUGAUUAUUGGGCCUAAAGCAUCCGUAGCCGGCUCUGUAAGUUUUCGGUUAAAUCUAUAUGCUCAACAUAUAGGCUGCCGGGAAUACUGCACAGCUAGGGAGUGGGAGAGGUAGACGGUACUCGAUAGGAAGGGGUAAAAUCCUUUGAUCUAUUGAUGACCACCUGUGGCGAAGGCGGUCUACUAGAACACGUUCGACGGUGAGGGAUGAAAGCUGGGGGAGCAAACCGGAUUAGAUACCCGGGUAGUCCCAGCCGUAAACUAUGCAAACUCGGUGAUGCACUGGCUUGGUGCCAGUGCAGUGUCGCAGGGAAGCCGUUAAGUUUGCCGCCUGGGAAGUACGUACGCAAGUAUGAAACUUAAAGGAAUUGGCGGGGGAGCACCACAAGGGGUGAAGCCUGCGGUUCAAUUGGAGUCAACGCCAGAAAUCUUACCCGGAGAGACAGCAGAAUGAAGGUCAAGCUGAAGACUUUACCAGACAAGCUGAGAGGUGGUGCAUGGCCGUCGUCAGCUCGUGCCGUGAGAUGUCCUGUUAAGUCAGGUAACGAGCGAGAUCCUUGCCUCUAGUUGCCACCAUUACUCUCAGGAGUAGUGGGGCGAAUUAGCGGGACCGCCGUAGUUAAUACGGAGGAAGGAAAGGGCCACGGCAGGUCAGUAUGCCCCGAAACUCUGGGGCCACACGCGGGCUGCAAUGGUAGUGACAAUGGGUUUCGAAUCCGAGAGGAGGAGGUAAUCCUCAAACGCUACCACAGUUAUGACUGAGGGCUGUAACUCGCCCUCACGAAUAUGGAAUCCCUAGUAACUGCGUGUCAUUAUCGCGCGGUGAAUACGUCCCUGCUCCUUGCACACACCGCCCGUC
RNAcentral lists this ribosomal RNA (900 nucleotides) under uncultured archaeon. RNAcentral describes it as "bacterial SSU rRNA". It matches the Rfam family "Archaeal small subunit ribosomal RNA", at positions 455 to 1354 of the family's 1478-position model. The record is from RNAcentral.